GUGCUUGCUUCGGCAGCACAUAUACUAAAAUUGGAACGACAUAGAGAAGAUUAGCAUGGUCCCUGUGCAAGGAUGACAUGCAAAUUCGUGAAGCGUUCCAUAUUUUU
Molecule: small nuclear RNA, 107 nt
Organism: Eptesicus fuscus (big brown bat)
Lineage: Eukaryota; Metazoa; Chordata; Mammalia; Chiroptera; Vespertilionidae
Source: RefSeq, a predicted model, not a curated record